AGUAAAUGAAAACACUUUUGUAAGAUUCCGUUUUCUGUAAUUUCUUCUAUUCCUGUACUUUUCGUAAAACGCUCAAUCUCAUUAUAGAAAGAGGAGGUGAUACCAAAGCUGUUUAACUUCUGCCACCAUGACUCAUUCUCGAAGAAAUUUCCGUCUUUCAUAGCUUGAAAUAAUACAUCGAGUUCAAACUUGUUCGGUGUUAUAAAAUCAAUUGAGGCAACAGAUAAGACUUUUAGUAUCUUUAAUGUUUUGGGACCACUGGUUGGUUCAAAAACGACUCGUUGCUUACUCGAUUUAGAUGUGGUUAUAUCUAGCAUCAAUGACGGUGAAAUAUUACCAUCAAAACAAAUGUACUUAGCGUCAUUAAGAUCAUCCUUGAUUUCUGAAUAACUAAGGUUUUCCAUGAUGGCCAUGUCAGCUCCAGCUAAUAAUAAAUUGCCAUUACAAUCGUUGAUAGCUGUGUAUGAGCAAGAGGUAAAGUUACUUUUCUCAACAAUGGUAUGCUGCAAAGAAGACUUGGUAAGAUACUCUUUAAUAGAGGAAGUGGGUACGGAUUUUGUUCCAACACAUGAAACCAACUUCGUAGAAGCGCCCAUUAAAGAAGAAGCCAAAGCCAUGUUAUGAGCAACACCGCCAAAAGCCUGUUCAGAGUGACAAGGAUGAGAUGUGCCAAGGAAUUUAGAUGUUAAAGGAUUAUCCAAUUUCAAAACUGAGUCAAUAGACACACUACCAACACAUACAACUUCUGCAGGUUUGGACGUUGUUUCUGUAAUUUUUUUUUUGCUCGACGAAACCCCUUUGUCACUCACUUUACCAUAGAAAAAGUCUUGUUUAACCGGCUUCGUUUCAAAUGUAUUUCCGGUGUUGGUAGGGAAAAAAGAGCUUUUUUCUUUUAAAACAGCUAGUUCUUUUGCAAUAAGGGAAGCCUUUUCGGCAUUGUUUAAGACCAAAUCAAUAUUAGUAUUUAAACUUUUCCCUUUUGAUUCUCUUAGAAGUUCUCCUAAAAGCCAUGGAGUUACAUUUUUACCAGUUAUGCCAAGUUGUACACUCCUUUGCAAACAAGUUUCAAUCAAAGCCUCCAUUUUUUCGUAAUCAAUAGAACAAUGGUGAGGGGUGGGAAUGGCCACAAGAGUACCACAUUCCUGGCCAAGCUGUAUAUUACUAAAGAGCAUGUUAGCAAUUAACUGCGGAGUUUCUAGAGAAAGAGGGCUCUGGAACUUGGAUUCUCUUGAAAAAAAUGCAGGGAAAGCCGAUUUUGGAGGGCCUAAAGUGACAACAGGAACACCCUGAGUUUCUAAUACUUCAAGUGUGCGUCCAAUAUCGAGUAUACUCUUGACACCAGCACUGACGACGGCAACCCUUGUGCGACCUAAUUCUAUUAAAUCCGCAGAAAUAUCCAUGGAAUUUUCUGCCCCACGAUGAACACCACCUAUACCGCCCGUUGCGAAUACGUCAAUGCCAGCUGCUCUAGCCAAGAUCAUAGUUGCAGCAACUGUGGUUCCACCAUUGAGUCUCUGGGAAGCAACAUAAGAUAAAUCUCUACGAGACACUUUAUAUGCUGUUUCACCUGAUUUAGCAAGUUCGCUUAACUGAAAUUGUUCAAGCCCUAUAGUACAUUGUCCAUUUAAUAGAGCAAUUGUCGCAGGAACCGCACCCAUGCUGCGUACCUUGCUUUCCACUUGAAUUGCCAAUUCUUCAUUUUGAGGAUAAGGCAUUCCAUGAGUGAUGAUAGUUGAUUCUAAGGCAACGACUGGUACGUUGUUUUUAAGGGCUUCUGUCACUUCCUUGGAUAAGGCCAGCGGACUAUAUCUUCUGCAAAGUAUAUUCCUCAAUCCAGGGUUUGGAUUUCUCUUCAGCCUUCUGAACCCCAAUGGAAUACGUGAAACUAACCGACAACCUCUAUUCAUAACGAUGAGCAUAUAAGCAAGAUGCUAAGAAAAAUAGUGAUAAAUAGGUAAAUAAUAUAGGACAAACGAAGAAAGCGUAUAUCAGAUAAUAUUAAAAUCGUGAAUAAAUCGUACUAUACGCGCUCACUCCGCGUAUCUAAUAAACGUAAAAAGAAUGAGUGGAAUAAAGUUAACCCAAAAUUGAGAUUUAAAAAGGACGUAUACUAUUAGGAAUAAAAGUUUAAGGAACAAAAAAUGAAAAUGCCAGAACGAUCAGACGACGUUUUUUAUAUAUAAUCUACCUCGGCAAAUCAUAUCUAAACAUGGUGGUGUCUGAUAAUAAAUGUA
RNAcentral lists this long non-coding RNA (2234 nucleotides) under Schizosaccharomyces pombe (fission yeast). Lineage: Eukaryota; Fungi; Ascomycota; Schizosaccharomycetes; Schizosaccharomycetales; Schizosaccharomycetaceae. The record is from RNAcentral.